RNAcentral lists this transfer RNA (67 nucleotides) under Eurypyga helias (sunbittern). Its description in RNAcentral is "tRNA-Ser". The record is from RNAcentral. Lineage: Eukaryota; Metazoa; Chordata; Aves; Eurypygiformes; Eurypygidae.
GAGGGGAGGGCUAACCCAACAAGAACUGCUAAUCCUUGAACCUGGGCCUUAAACCCCAGUCCCCUUA